GCUGGGCGUGGUGGCACGCCUGUAGUCCCAGCUACUCGGGAGGCUGAGGCAGAAGAAUUGCUUGAACCCAGGAGGCAGAGGUUGCAGUGAGCCAAGAUCAUACCACUGCACUCCAGCCUGGGUGACAGAGCAAGACUCUGUCUCAA
Molecule: small RNA, 146 nt
Filed under: Macaca fascicularis (crab-eating macaque)
Lineage: Eukaryota; Metazoa; Chordata; Mammalia; Primates; Cercopithecidae
Description: Metazoan signal recognition particle RNA (ENSMFAG00000053721.1)
Source: Rfam by way of RNAcentral